Tachysurus fulvidraco (yellow catfish) is the source of this 2032-nucleotide long non-coding RNA. RefSeq lists it as uncharacterized. Lineage: Eukaryota; Metazoa; Chordata; Actinopteri; Siluriformes; Bagridae. The record is from RefSeq and is a predicted model, not a curated record. The transcript has 3 exons.
UGCAAUGGAUCUAGUUGAUGAAGUUUCCACCACUUAAAUUUACUUGAAUUACUGGAAUUAUUUUUCGAGUUACGGGCACACAAUAUCUUGGCAGCAAAACUCAUAAGCACAGAUGAUUUUGCUUUUUAUUCAUUUUAGAGAACAGAUCUGCUGAGGAGAGAAGAAUAUUGUGUCUACUAGUAACAGUAACAGUGCAUCUCAUGCCUAAGGGUAGAACUCUACAGACAUGUGGAUAAAACAAGCAUUAAAGUUAGAGACAUGUAAAGUACAGUAGAUGGCCAGAUGUUGGCUAGUGUAUCCUGCAACAGGCUGUCUGAUACAACAGAUAGCAAUGAGUUGACAGGUUCACCAAAUGUGGUUGCAAAUGCCACUUUGUUUGUUGAACACAAUUUCAAGCCAGCACAAGAAAGUUACUUUUGAACAUUAGCAUUCCCAAUACUGUAUCUUAUUUUUUUGUAGAAACUAGGACUACACAUAUUGGAGUAGAGGAAUCCAUCAUACAUUCAGACAUACAUUGGAGUGACCGGGUGGGAAUUAAUCUCAGUAAUUAUAGCUUCCUAGAAAAAAGAAGCAGUGUUUGCCUGUGGUCACUGUAAGAACAAGCUCAAUGUUGUGAGCAUUUAUCGUGUCCAGGCCUAAAAAAAGUUUAAACUUUUAAAGGUAAAUGUUUUUUUGUUGUUGUUGUUGUUUUUUAAUGUGGCUUGAAUAAACAAAUGGUUUAAAUUUAAAUGUCUUAAAAUGUUUUUUUUUUAAUGAUUUUUGGUGGUAAGAAAAAACAAAGACAUGCAUUGUGCUCAUAGUCUUGCUUUAACAGGUUUAGGCUAGGUUCCUUAUUUGAAGGGAAAUGAUAAUACUACCGCGUACAAUGACAUUCUAGGCAAUCAGCUGCUUUUAACAUUGUGGAACACUGUGGAAAAAAAUGUUUGGAAAAGGCCCAUGUGGUUGAUCAUCAAGACCUCUGUGCAGUUCCGGCACUGGAUUGUUCAUUCUGUUCACCUGCAGAUGUCUUGGCCGUGGGGAUGAAGGUGGCUCAAACAGACUGUUUCAGAGUUGGUUUGAAAAUAAUAAUCAGCAGUGGGUCUACAUGGUAAAAGCAGGUUUUCAGAACUCUUUCAGGAAUUCCAUCUCAUCUCACAGCCUUCCUGCCACUCAUUCACUUCCUCUUCAUGCAAUGUUGUGCACACAUACAGCAGGAUGCUAGUAUCAGAUAGGGUGCUAAUAUUAGCAGUGAUAACAUCAAAAGUGUGCAUAGAAAUGUUUGUUUGUUAAAGAGGGAGUGGCCAGCACCCACUACGGCAUGUGAUCGUUCUCUGUAUACCAUGAUGAUUACUUACAGCUGGACUCAAUCCACACAACACACACACAACACACACACACAGUUCACUUGCUCUGGUAUCCUGUUUUGUUUAGAUAUAUUUUUUUUAAUUCUAUUUGUGUCUUUGAAAGUCUGAUUGUUGAUUGCUGGACCCUCUUUGGGUUGAUUGCCGGACCUGGUUUGUUGAAUGCCUGUGUUUGGCACAGCUUUUUGAUUUGUUAGCUUGUUGCAAUAAAGUAUUCCUGCACUUGCAACCAUCAUCUCCGGUGCCUGACACAUUUAAGUGGUUGAUUUACUUUUAAAAAUCUUGCAGGAUUCUGAUGGAUAAGGCAAGUUUUAGCUGUAGCUGCUGAUUAGGUGCCCUAAAUGUUCUCCAGUAUUUUAUACAGAUGUGCCAAAAUGAUUUUGACUGAGUGUGGUUGGACUUCAUGCAUCUUUCCAGUAAAAUGUCAGUAUUAUUGAUGACACAGGGGCUCCUGAAUGUCAGGCUGAGUGCAUGGAAUUCUUAAAAUACUUAAUUGAGGCCUCUAAAGUAAAACCAAAAGGAAGCAUGCAUUCUGCUUUUUUCUUUUUAAUUGUGCGAGUCUAUUUAUGAAUCAUGCUGAUGCCAUGACAGAGCCCCAGUUUAGGUUAUGUUUGUUACUAUUUCUAAAAGAAGAAAUGUUCAGAUUUGAGGUUAGUAAUAAUAAUAAUAAUAAUAAUAAUAAUAAUAAUAAU